UGCGUAGGCGGCCUAGUAAGUUGGGUGUGAAAUCCCUCGGCUCAACCGAGGAACUGCGCUCAAAACUGCUAGGCUUGAGGAAGACAGAGGUGAGCGGAACUCAGGGUGGAGCGGUGAAAUGCGUUGAUAUCCUGGGGAACACCAGUAGCGAAGGCGGCUCACUGGGUCUUUUCUGACGCUGAGGCACGAAAGCUAGGGGAGCGAACAGGAUUAGAUACCCUGGUAGUCC
RNAcentral lists this ribosomal RNA (229 nucleotides) under uncultured bacterium. Its description in RNAcentral is "partial 16S ribosomal RNA". It matches the Rfam family "Bacterial small subunit ribosomal RNA", at positions 568 to 796 of the family's 1533-position model. The record is from RNAcentral.